ACCCAGACUCCUACGGGAGGCAGCAGUGGGGAAUAUUGCACAAUGGGGGAAACCCUGAUGCAGCGACGCCGCGUGAGCGAUGAAGUAUUUCGGUAUGUAAAGCUCUAUCAGCAGGGAAGAAAAUGACGGUACCUGACUAAGAAGCCCCGGCUAACUACGUGCCAGCAGCCGCGGUAAUACGUAGGGGGCAAGCGUUAUCCGGAUUUACUGGGUGUAAAGGGAGCGUAGACGGCUGUGCAAGCCAGAUGUGAAAGCCCGGGGCUCAACCCCGGGACUGCAUUUGGAACUGUGUGGCUGGAGUGUCGGAGGGGCAGGCGGAAUUCCUAGUGUAGCGGUGAAAUGCGUAGAUAUUAGGAGGAACACCAGUGGCGAAGGCGGCCUGCUGGACGAUGACUGACGUUGAGGCUCGAAAGCGUGGGGAGCAAACAGGAUUAGAUACCCGUGUAU
This 447-nucleotide ribosomal RNA is filed under the name uncultured bacterium. RNAcentral describes it as "bacterial SSU rRNA". It matches the Rfam family "Bacterial small subunit ribosomal RNA", at positions 329 to 793 of the family's 1533-position model. The record is from RNAcentral.